AUACGUAGGUGACAAGCGUUAUCCGGAUUUACUGGGCGUAAAGGGCGUGUAGGCGGUCUUGCAAGUCAGAAGUGAAAUUCCUGAGCUCAACUCGGGCGCUGCUUCUGAAACUGCAGGACUUGAGUGCUGGAGGGGAUAGCGGAAUUCCUAGUGGAGCGGUAAAAUGCGCAGAUAUUAGGAAGAACACCGGUGGCGAAGGCGGCUAGCUGGACAGUAACUGGCGCUGAGGCGCGAAAGCGUGGGGAGCAAACUGAAGUAGAUUCCCUGGGAGUCCACGCCGUAAACGAUGAAUACUAGGGGUAGGGGGUAUCGACUCCCUCUGUGCCGCAGUUAACACAAUAAGUAUUCCGCCUGGGGAGUACGGCCGCAAGGUUGAAACUCAAAUGAAUUGACGGGG
Molecule: ribosomal RNA, 397 nt
Filed under: uncultured bacterium
Lineage: Bacteria
Description: partial 16S ribosomal RNA
Rfam family: Bacterial small subunit ribosomal RNA
Source: RNAcentral